GACAAUUUUUUUGAAUUGAUUGUUUAGCUCGAUCAAUCGCUUCAUAAAGAAAACCCAUUGUGGGCUUUGUAUCACCAUCCACCAACCUUAAUACUUUAACUAUAUGCUCGAAAUUUUUUAAUAUAUCACUAGCCCUACUCCAGAAUUCAUGAUCCAAAACAAUCUUCCUUGCUUCAAGUGUUGGCCCAUUCUUUUGUUUGUAAAAUUUAGAUUUUCUAAAUUCUUCGGAGUUGAACAUUUGUUUCAGGCCUUGCUUUUGAUUCAUAAUUGCUU
This 273-nucleotide long non-coding RNA is filed under the name Lupinus angustifolius (narrow-leaved blue lupine). Its description in RNAcentral is "long non-coding RNA (LANG_LNC000338)". Lineage: Eukaryota; Viridiplantae; Streptophyta; Magnoliopsida; Fabales; Fabaceae. The record is from RNAcentral.